AAUGAGGGGGAUGAUGUAUUCUAUUGUGAAUAUGAAUAUGAUGUUCGCUGGCACAGUUUCAAGCGUCUUGCUGAAGUU
Small nucleolar RNA from Dendrobium catenatum, 78 nucleotides. RefSeq annotates it as small nucleolar RNA snoR28. The transcript has a single exon. The record is from RefSeq and is a predicted model, not a curated record. Lineage: Eukaryota; Viridiplantae; Streptophyta; Magnoliopsida; Asparagales; Orchidaceae.